Long non-coding RNA from Polyodon spathula (Mississippi paddlefish), 1870 nucleotides. RefSeq lists it as uncharacterized. NCBI's taxonomy places the organism in Eukaryota, Metazoa, Chordata, Actinopteri, Acipenseriformes, Polyodontidae. The transcript has 3 exons. The record is from RefSeq and is a predicted model, not a curated record.
UAAAUUUUUUGUAAAGCUGGAAUGACAUCCUCUCUGAAAGAAAGCUUGAAACAACGCGAUUCAAGAAUGGAUCGCACUGCUGACAAAAAGAAACACAUUUAAAAAAAAAAAAAAAAAAAAAAAAAAAAAACAUCACGACAAAUCAAAGCCGAAAAAGGGACUUUUUAAUUGGUAUUAGAAGAACAGCGGGAUAACCUUGUCAACUUCCCUGGCCUCAUCCUGGCAACACUUCUCCGGAUCCCGUGAGUUACAAUCAUGCUCAUAUAAAUAACGCUGACAUCAGUCGCGCACAUGAAAGGCGGACUCGCCAAUGAAUUGCCGAAACAGUAAAGAGCACUGUAUCCAUCUUCAUUUGCAAUAAUAGUUCUGGACUUGAGUUGGGCAGAAGCAUUAGGGUAACAUAUAUCACAGAAAAUUUGUAGACAGGGAUCAGGGAGGAAAAAAAAAAAAAACCUUCAAGAUCCCCAGCCUUUAAGUGGGGCAGCUGCUAACUCCUCCCCAUUCCCCUUCUCUUCUUGAGGAAGAUUUAGUGGCCCGGAGCUAAAAGCUCUUUCACCCCGACUGUGACCUACUUUAAGUGAAGCAUUUAUAAACGAUCAUACACUUUGUGCUCUGGAGUCUAACUGUCCUGCAUGAAGCAGAGGAGUAAACCAACUUCUUAAAUCACACCCACAGAUUAUAGCUACUGAUUUAUAAGUAGCGUCUGAAUCUAGCAACUGCAGUCAAGCACUGUUAGUAACUACCGUGCCGUUCACUUUCUCAGACGCACCGAAAACAACAGCAACAGGCCUCUUUGAAAUAGUUUUUUUGGCCAAACUAUACCUAAUGCAUAACAAAACAGACAGCUGGAUUCCAAUAAAGACACAUUUAAAAAACUGCAUGCAUGUACAGUAGAGGCGAUGAAAACGAGGAGAAGUGUGCAUGCUGAGCAGUUGGAUGAGACAGCCCGGACUUGACCUCAGGGGACUCGGCUCCAGUCUUCCUGAGUCCAUGAGCAGCAGGAGCCUGUAGAUAUCGAGGCCUAACCUGCCAUUGCUCAGCGUUAAGGAAGACCAGGCUGAUCUGUCAAAAUGUGAUGGAAUGAGCGUCUCCUCGUAGCAUGACAGCGCCCCAGAGUACAGUGGAGAGUCUAAUUCCAUGCAGAUUGAAGACCUUGUUUGUUGUGUUAAGCACCAGGGUCACUGGGUAUGAACCGGCAUGAUGUGCUGCAGCUCUCGACAAGGAUGAUCUUACCAAAGGCAGGCUGACUGUAAAGCUCCGUUAGCUCUUUCAUUGAAUCUGAUAAUUAUCUGUAUUAUCUUGGUGGCAACUCAGUAGAUGUUAAAUAGGUUACAUUGCAUGCAACUAUUUAACUGCUGAUAUCUUUAAAGUGGGUGCACAUUCAUGCUGAAUUAAUGCCAUUCAUGCAGAAAUGUUCCUACAGAAAUAUAUUUUAGUUACUCCCACUUAUUAUAAAAUCUUGGCAGCUAACAUAACAGCAAAGUGAAAACCUUUAAAGGACCUGAGAGGAAAAUUACACUAUGUAUGGCUUCGUACAGUAUAGGUUUGGAGAAAAUUGUGUUGUGUUUUGUGUUUUAAAUCUACUUAUGCUUCUAUCAAACUUGUGCAGAGAAAGAGAGAGAAAGAGAGAGAGAGAGAGAAAGAGAGAGAAAGAGAGAGAAAGAGAUUCAGAUACAGGGGAAACUAAUUCCAAUUCCAGUAUUGAAGCAACACCACUCAGAAUGACUGUGAACAUCAUACAACAGGAACAGUAAAGAGGAAUAAAACAGCCAUCUAAAGCUGCUGCCUUUUUAACUUAUUCUGAUUCAUGUAACAAAAAACAACAUAGCAAUACAUUUCAGAAUAAACACACCACUAAACUGUUUCUGAU